This 72-nucleotide transfer RNA is filed under the name Camelus bactrianus (Bactrian camel). It matches the Rfam family "tRNA". Rfam says of the family: Transfer RNA (tRNA) molecules are approximately 80 nucleotides in length. Their secondary structure includes four short double-helical elements and three loops (D, anti-codon, and T loops). The record is from Rfam by way of RNAcentral. RNAcentral also lists the same sequence under 1 other name. Lineage: Eukaryota; Metazoa; Chordata; Mammalia; Artiodactyla; Camelidae.
GGGAGUAGAGCUCGGUGUUAGAGUGCGAGCUUAGCGUGCACGAGGUCCUGGGUUCAAUCCCCAGUCCCUCCA